AGCCUACGAUCUUUAUCUGGUUUGAGAGGAUGAUCAGAAACACUGGGACUGAGACACGGCCCAGACUCCUACGGGAGGCAGCAGUGGGGAAUCUUGGACAAUGGGCGCAAGCCUGAUCCAGCCAUGCCGCGUGAGUGAAGAAGGCCUUAGGGUUGUAAAGCUCUUUCAGGGGUGAGGAUUAUGACAGUAACCCCAGAAGAAGCACCGGCUAA
Molecule: ribosomal RNA, 212 nt
Filed under: uncultured bacterium
Lineage: Bacteria
Description: partial 16S ribosomal RNA
Rfam family: Bacterial small subunit ribosomal RNA
Source: RNAcentral